RNAcentral lists this long non-coding RNA (936 nucleotides) under Malus domestica (apple). RNAcentral's name for it is "long non-coding RNA (MDOM_LNC006890)". Lineage: Eukaryota; Viridiplantae; Streptophyta; Magnoliopsida; Rosales; Rosaceae. The record is from RNAcentral.
AUAAUGUUUCAAAGUCAUAACUUUAAAGAAGAAGUAUUCUUUUCAUUUCCAAAAUUAAUAUAUCAUAUAUAUUUAAAUUUUAGGAACAUGAUUAACUCCCAUAUACAUUCUAUCUUCAUAUAAUGUUUGAAAGUUAUAACUUUAAUGAAGAAGUAUUCUUUUCAUUUCCAAAAUUAAUAUAUCAUAUAUAUUUAAAUUUUAGGAACAUGAUUAACUCCCACUAAUCUUUUGUAAACCUAGGAAACAAAAGAUUCAUUUACAUCUUUAUGAGAAAUCAAACGAUUUGAUCAUUUUCUCAUAAGAUGCUCAUAGCUCCCACUAGCUUGCUUAGAUUCAUGAUGGAUGGAUCUCUACAACUUACAUGUCUUGUGAUUCAUAGUUUUAGACAUAUAUUAUCAAGACUAUCUUAAUAAUGGUUUCGGAAACCCAUAUUAUGUCCAAACAUUGAAUCACCAUUUAGUUGUAGCUAGCUAUCUUCGAAUUAAUUGAAACCAAGACUACGUCAAAAAUGGUUUCUUCAAAGUCAACCAUCCUUUUGAUUGUAGUUACCUUAAGCUACCAAUUAGCUUAUGAAGGUUUCAUUAUUUCGGGUCAAAUGGUACUUUACCAUUUUCUUGAGUAUAUAUCAUAUAUACACUCAAUGUAGUCAUAAGGAUUUUCAUUCUUAUUUCUUUCGAAUUAAGAGGUGCAACUCUAUGACAUAGUCAUAAAGUUCAAACCAUUCAACUGAGAUGGUUUAUAAAUCCUUCUCGACUACCUUGGAGCUUUUGGUAUAGGAGCUAGGUUGUUUAUAUUUGUUGAUUACUUUCUUGUCUCUCAAAGAACCCAUUCUUUGAGUUCUAUCUCUCGUUCAUUUGCUUUUAGGAAAAUCACAUUGUAGGAUUACAAUGAACUACCCAACAAAACAACAUUUGUUAAUUGGUUUAUAGAAGCGAU